RNAcentral lists this ribosomal RNA (219 nucleotides) under uncultured bacterium. RNAcentral describes it as "partial 16S ribosomal RNA". It matches the Rfam family "Bacterial small subunit ribosomal RNA", at positions 524 to 742 of the family's 1533-position model. The record is from RNAcentral.
UACAGAGGGGGCAAGCGUUGUUCGGAAUUACUGGGCGUAAAGGGCGCGUAGGCGGCCUGUUAAGUCGAACGUGAAAUCCCCGGGCUCAACCCGGGAACUGCGUCCGAUACUGGCAGGCUUGAAUUCGGGAGAGGGAUGCGGAAUUCCAGGUGUAGCGGUGAAAUGCGUAGAUAUCUGGAGGAACACCGGUGGCGAAGGCGGCAUCCUGGACCGAGAUUG